RNAcentral lists this ribosomal RNA (253 nucleotides) under uncultured bacterium. RNAcentral's name for it is "partial 16S ribosomal RNA". It matches the Rfam family "Bacterial small subunit ribosomal RNA", at positions 524 to 776 of the family's 1533-position model. The record is from RNAcentral.
UACGGAGGGUGCAAGCGUUGUCCGGAAUCACUGGGCGUAAAGGGCGCGUAGGCGGCUCGGUAAGUAGGGGGUGAAAUCCUGCGGCUUAACCGCAGGGCUGCCUUCUAAACUGUCGAGCUUGAGCACGGUAGAGGCAGAUGGAAUUCCUGGUGUAGCGGUGGAAUGCGCAGAUAUCAGGAGGAACACCAAUAGCGAAGGCAGCUCGCUGGGACGGUACUGACGCUAAGGCGCGAAAGCGUGGGGAGCAAACAGG